Molecule: ribosomal RNA, 1698 nt
Filed under: human gut metagenome
Description: bacterial LSU rRNA
Rfam family: Bacterial large subunit ribosomal RNA
Source: RNAcentral
UUGGCUUAGAAGCAGCCACUCAUUUAAAGAGUGCGUAAUAGCUCACUAGUCGAGUGACUCUGCGCCGAAGAUAAACGGGGCUGAAACUUACCACCGAAGCUUUGGAUACCCAUAGGGUAUGGUAGAGGAGCAUCGUAUACGGGCCGAAGCGGAAAUGUGAGUUUCCGUGGACUGUAUAGGAGAGAGAAUGUUGGCAUGAGUAGCGAGAGGCAGGUGAGAAUCCUGCCCGCCGAAAAUCUGAGGUUUCCUGAGGAAGGUUCGUCCGCUCAGGGUAAGUCGGGACCUAAGCCGAGAGCGAAAGCUGUAGGCGAUGGACAACAGGUUGAGAUUCCUGUACCACCGAAAGUCGUUUGAAUGAAGUGGGGACGCAGGAGGAUAGACAGAGCACGCCGUUGGUAGAGCGUGUCCAAGCACGGAGUGUAUCGGGUAGGCAAAUCCGCCCGGUGAAAAGCAUGACGUGUGACGGGGAGGGAAAAUAGUACCGAAGCUGUCGAUUUCACACUGCCAAGAAAAGCCGCUAAUGAGACUGUAGGUGCCCGUACCGCAAACCGACACAGGUAGAUGAGGAGAGAAUCCUAAGGCGAGCGAGAGAACUAUUGUUAAGGAACUCGGCAAAAUGACCCCGUAACUUAGGGAGAAGGGGUGCCUGCGAAAGCAGGCCGCAGUGAAAAGGCCCAGGCGACUGUUUACCAAAAACACAGGUCUCUGCGAAAGCGAAAGCUGAAGUAUAGGGGCUGACGCCUGCCCGGUGCUGGAAGGUUAAGGGGACUGCUUAGAGCAAUCGAAGGCAUGAACUUAAGCCCCAGUAAACGGCGGCCGUAACUAUAACGGUCCUAAGGUAGCGAAAUUCCUUGUCGGGUAAGUUCCGACCCGCACGAAAGGCGUAACGAUCUGGGCACUGUCUCGACAAUAGACUCGGUGAAAUUGUAGUACCGGUAAAGAUGCCGGUUACCCGCAGCAGGACGGAAAGACCCCGUGGAGCUUCACUGUAGCUUGAUAUUGAGUUUCGGCGUUGCAUGUACAGGAUAGGUGGGAGACUAUGAGACGGGUACGCCAGUAUCCGUGGAGUCACCGUUGGGAUACCACCCUUGUAACGUUGGAAUUCUAACCGAGUAUCGUAAUCCGGUACCGGGACAGUGUCAGGUGGGCAGUUUGACUGGGGCGGUCGCCUCCUAAAGAGUAACGGAGGCGCCCAAAGGUUCCCUCAGUGCGGACGGAAAUCGCACGAAGAGUGUAAAGGCAGAAGGGAGCUUGACUGCGAGACAAACAGGUCGAGCAGGGACGAAAGUCGGGCUUAGUGAUCCGGUGGUACCGAGUGGAAGGGCCAUCGCUCAACGGAUAAAAGCUACCCCGGGGAUAACAGGCUGAUACCCCCCAAGAGUUCACAUCGACGGGGGUGUUUGGCACCUCGAUGUCGGCUCGUCUCAUCCUGGGGCUGAAGUAGGUCCCAAGGGUUGGGCUGUUCGCCCAUUAAAGAGGUACGCGAGCUGGGUUCAGAACGUCGUGAGACAGUUCGGUCCCUAUCCGCUGUGGGCGAGGGAUAUUUGAGUGGAGCUGCCCUUAGUACGAGAGGACCGGGGUGGACAUACCGCUGGUGCACCGGUUGCAGUGCCAACUGCACAGCCGGGUAGCUAAGUAUGGAAGGGAUAAGCGCUGAAAGCAUCUAAGUGCGAAGCCCCCCACAAGACAAGAUAUCCU